GCGCCAGUAGCUCAGCUGGAUAGAGUACCUGGCUACGAACCAGGUGGUCGGAGGUUCGAAUCCUUCCUGGCGCGCCA
This 77-nucleotide transfer RNA is filed under the name Halochromatium salexigens. Its description in RNAcentral is "tRNA-Arg". It matches the Rfam family "tRNA". From Rfam's summary of the family: Transfer RNA (tRNA) molecules are approximately 80 nucleotides in length. Their secondary structure includes four short double-helical elements and three loops (D, anti-codon, and T loops). The record is from RNAcentral. RNAcentral also lists the same sequence under 6 other names. Lineage: Bacteria; Pseudomonadati; Pseudomonadota; Gammaproteobacteria; Chromatiales; Chromatiaceae.